RNAcentral lists this long non-coding RNA (552 nucleotides) under Gallus gallus (chicken). Lineage: Eukaryota; Metazoa; Chordata; Aves; Galliformes; Phasianidae. The record is from RNAcentral.
ACACUCUGCUCCCCGACACUCUGCAACAGAAAAGUCACCACAUGGAAAUGCAAUGAAUCGCAGGUGCCAGCAGACCUCCGUUCUCACGGCAGCCUUCGCAUCAUCCAGCAGACGCGUGCUUACCGAGUGAGCGCUGUGCGCUUCCAGUCGAGAGGGGGAACCUACGCCUAACUCAAAAGUACCAACACAACACUAACCUAUGCCUAACACUAAAGUAAGAACAGCAACCUACGCCUAACUCUAAAGUAACAACAACAACAACAACAAUCUACUCCUAACACUAACAUAACAACAAGAACCCCUACCUAACUCUAAAAUACAAACAACAACCUACUCCUACCACUAGAACUAAACUAAACACUAACGUCAACAACAAGAACCCCUACCUAACUCUAAAAUACAAACAACAACCUACUCCUACCACUAAAACUAAACUUAACACUAACAUCAACAACAAGAACGGGGACGGGGACAGAACGGGGCUCAGAGGGGACUGGGGGCCCGCAGAACUCGGCGCCAGAGGAGGACCAGGUGGUAAGCAGUGCCACCCAG